This 399-nucleotide RNase MRP RNA is filed under the name uncultured eukaryote. RNAcentral's name for it is "RNase MRP". It matches the Rfam family "RNase MRP". From Rfam's summary of the family: RNase MRP is an enzymatically active ribonucleoprotein with two distinct roles in eukaryotes. The record is from RNAcentral.
GAAGCGUUUCUUUCGGAGCAAUACAGACGGAGUGCACGAUGAAGGCAUCGGGGCGACUCAAGGAAUAGGCUCAUUUGAAGAUCAGCUCGCUCCGUUUUGAGAGCGGCUGGAUGCUCUGGGGAAAGUCCCCGGGUCAUUGGUAGAGAGUACCACGCCUCGAGUGAAGGCGGGACCCCCCUAUAAAAGUGUCCUGUGCAGUCACGAAGAGAGGAGUCGAACGGAUGGAGCGAUGGCUACGAAAGUAGGACAGAGCUUCCAGAGGGGAGAUGACUGGAGUGCUUGUCGCAGGCGCUAGGGGCUGCUGGCCAUAGAGCGUACGCUGAACAGUUAUGAAACGGAGGCUGGUAUGCCGAAGCCUGUCGUGACGACAUACCAGCCGAAACAGAAUGGGGCUUACUC